RNAcentral lists this ribosomal RNA (460 nucleotides) under uncultured bacterium. RNAcentral describes it as "partial 16S ribosomal RNA". It matches the Rfam family "Bacterial small subunit ribosomal RNA", at positions 338 to 795 of the family's 1533-position model. The record is from RNAcentral.
CCUACGGGAGGCAGCAGUGAGGAAUAUUGGUCAAUGGACGAGAGUCUGAACCAGCCAAGUAGCGUGAAGGAUGACUGCCCUAUGGGUUGUAAACUUCUUUUAUAUGGGAAUAAAAUGUUCCACGUGUGGGAUUUUGUAUGUACCAUAUGAAUAAGGAUCGGCUAACUCCGUGCCAGCAGCCGCGGUAAUACGGAGGAUCCGAGCGUUAUCCGGAUUUAUUGGGUUUAAAGGGAGCGUAGAUGGAUUGUUAAGUCAGUUGUGAAAGUUUGCGGCUCAACCGUAAAAUUGCAGUUGAGACUGGCAGUCUUGAGUACAGUAGAGGUAGGCGGAAUUCGUGGUGUAGCGGUGAAAUGCUUAGAUAUCACGAAGAACUCCGAUUGCGAAGGCAGUUCACUGAACUGCAACUGACACUGAGGCUCGAAAGUGUGGGUAUCAAACAGGAUUAGAUACCCGUGUAGUC